This 441-nucleotide ribosomal RNA is filed under the name uncultured bacterium. RNAcentral's name for it is "partial 16S ribosomal RNA". It matches the Rfam family "Bacterial small subunit ribosomal RNA", at positions 338 to 795 of the family's 1533-position model. The record is from RNAcentral.
CCUACGGGAGGCAGCAGUGGGGGAUAUUGCACAAUGGGGGGAACCCUGAUGCAGCGACGCCGCGUGGGUGAAGGAGUGCUUCGGCAUGUAAAGCCCUAUCGGCAGGGAAGAAGCAAGACGGUACCUGACUAAGAAGCCCCGGCUAAAUACGUGCCAGCAGCCGCGGUAAUACGUAGGGGGCGAGCGUUAUCCGGAUUCACUGGGUGUAAAGGGAGCGUAGACGGCCAUGCAAGCCAGGGGUGAAAGCCCGGGGCCCAACCCCGGGACUGCCCUUGGAACUGUGCGGCUAGAGUGCGGGAGGGGCAGGCGGAAUGCCUGGUGUAGCGGUGAAAUGCGUAGAUAUCAGGAGGAACACCGGCGGCGAAGGCGGCCUGCUGGACUGCGACUGACGUUGAGGCUCGAAAGCGUGGGGAGCGAACAGGAUUAGAUACCCCUGUAGUC